AAUUGGCACGUCUGGAGACGUCCCCGGCACCUGGCGAGGCGUCUCGCAGGGUCGGAGUCGACUCCCGACUCUGCGGAGUCGACUCUCUCAGAGACGGCAGAAAGGCCGAUUUCAAGGGAUGCGCGCGAGUCGUCUCCGAAGGACGCGGAGUCGUCCCCACGCAUAAAAAGCAAACUUCCCGAGACGUCCCCAGAAAGCGCGGAGUC
Molecule: long non-coding RNA, 206 nt
Filed under: Phoenix dactylifera (date palm)
Lineage: Eukaryota; Viridiplantae; Streptophyta; Magnoliopsida; Arecales; Arecaceae
Description: long non-coding RNA (PDAC_LNC009779)
Source: RNAcentral